This 253-nucleotide ribosomal RNA is filed under the name uncultured bacterium. RNAcentral's name for it is "partial 16S ribosomal RNA". It matches the Rfam family "Bacterial small subunit ribosomal RNA", at positions 524 to 776 of the family's 1533-position model. The record is from RNAcentral.
UACGUAGGGCGCAAGCGUUGUCCGGAAUUAUUGGGCGUAAAGAGCUCGUAGGUGGCGUGUCGCGUCUGCCGUGAAAGCCCAUGGCUUAACUGUGGGUCUGCGGUGGAUACGGGCAGGCUGGAGGCUGGUAGGGGCAAGCGGAAUUCCUGGUGUAGCGGUGAAAUGCGCAGAUAUCAGGAGGAACACCAAUAGCGAAGGCAGCUCGCUGGGACGGUACUGACGCUGAGGCGCGAAAGCGUGGGGAGCGAACAGG